Long non-coding RNA from Mytilus californianus (California mussel), 618 nucleotides. RefSeq lists it as uncharacterized. The transcript is spliced from 2 exons. Lineage: Eukaryota; Metazoa; Mollusca; Bivalvia; Mytilida; Mytilidae. The record is from RefSeq and is a predicted model, not a curated record.
AUUAAGUAGAAUUUACUGGCGACUGGGUCCUAAAGUGAACACAAAAAGAUAAUGAACCUCUUUCUCCUGUUGAUAGAGGUUAUUCUUUUGGCUGUUUGCAUUGAAGGACAGUUCAGCGACGAUAAUGAUAACGAUAGCAACGAAAAUGGGAUAUGGCAAAGUGGGCGUACAUUCUCCAGGAGACCUACAUUCAGACGUCAAACAUUCAGGAGAUCUGAUGAUGACGAUGAUAAUGACAGAAGAAGACGUUUAAUUCUUCAACGAAACAGUUUAAGAAACAGAAUAUUAUUGAGACAAAGACUAAUUCGACAACGCCAACGUUCAAGAAAUAACGACAACGACAGUAACGAAAACAGAUGGCAAAGAAGGAGGGUAUUCCGAAGGCGACCAUCCUUUAAUACUGUUCGAAGUCGAAGGUUCUUCAGAAGACCAACAUUUCGUCGGCAACGUUUAGUAAGACGUGGGAGGAGGUUUUGAAACGAAAUGUCACAUCUACUUAAUGUCAGCUAGUAUUUAAACAGUCAUGUCGAUUUUCAAUUAUAUUUUUCCAAAAUGAAAGUUUACGUAUAUGUAAUUUUCGGUACAUUUUGUAACAGGAAAUAAAAGAUUUUUUCUUAA